GUCUUCUUGAUAAAAUAGGAAGUCUGACCUGCCCAGUGAAAAAUAUUUUAACGGCCGCGGUAUAUUGACCGUGCAAAGGUAGCAUAAUCAUUAGUCUUUUAAUAGAGGGCUGGAAUGAAGGGUUUAACGAAGUACUUACUGUCUCAUUUAAUUUGAUAUUAAAAUUUACUUUUUCAGUCAAAAAGCUGAAAUAUUAUUGGAAGACGAGAAGACCCUAUAGAGCUUUAUAUUUAAUUAUCUAAUAAAUUUUUGAUAUAAUUAUUAUUUAUUAUUUAAUAAAAUAUUUUGUUGGGGUGACAAAAAUAUAUAAUUAACUUUUUUAUUUAUAUAACAUUGAUAUAUGAGAAAUAGAUCCAGUUUUACUGAUUAUUAGAAUAAGUUACCUUAGGGAUAACAGCGUAAUCUUCCUUUAGAGUUCAUAUUCACAGGGAGGCUUGCGACCUCGAUGUUGGAUUAAGAUUAUAAUUAGGUGUAGCCGCUUAAAAAAUAGGUCUGUUCGACCUUUAAAUUCUU
This 513-nucleotide ribosomal RNA is filed under the name Anotogaster sp. RF1284. Its description in RNAcentral is "partial 16S rRNA". It matches the Rfam family "Bacterial large subunit ribosomal RNA", at positions 1819 to 2597 of the family's 2925-position model. Lineage: Eukaryota; Metazoa; Arthropoda; Insecta; Odonata; Cordulegastridae. The record is from RNAcentral.